AACCUUAGUAGGCAGUUUCUCUUCCGGGACUGGAACAUUGGACAGGCUAAAUCAACGGUCGCCGCUUCUGCAGCUGCUUUGAUUAAUCCUCAUCUCAACAUAGAAGCACUGCAGAACCGUGCCAGUCCUGAGACUGAGAAUGUCUUUGACGACCCAUUCUGGGAAAAUCUAAAUGUUGUUAUAAAUGCUUUGGAUAAUGUGAAUGCUAGGCUUUACGUUGAUGCAAGAUGCUUGUAUUUCCAAAAGCCUCUUCUGGAGUCGGGAACCCUAGGUGCCAAGUGCAACACUCAGAUGGUCAU
This 299-nucleotide unclassified non-coding RNA is filed under the name Hevea brasiliensis (rubber tree). The record is from RNAcentral. Lineage: Eukaryota; Viridiplantae; Streptophyta; Magnoliopsida; Malpighiales; Euphorbiaceae.